This 253-nucleotide ribosomal RNA is filed under the name uncultured bacterium. RNAcentral's name for it is "partial 16S ribosomal RNA". It matches the Rfam family "Bacterial small subunit ribosomal RNA", at positions 524 to 776 of the family's 1533-position model. The record is from RNAcentral.
UACGUAGGGUGCGAGCGUUGUCCGGAAUUACUGGGCGUAAAGAGCUCGUAGGUGGUUUGUCGCGUUGUUCGUGAAAACUCACAGCUUAACUGUGGGCGUGCGGGCGAUACGGGCAGACUGGAGUACUGCAGGGGAGACUGGAAUUCCUGGUGUAGCGGUGGAAUGCGCAGAUAUCGGGAGGAACACCGGUGGCGAAGGCGGGUCUCUGGGCCGACACUGACGCUGAGGAGCGAAAGCGUGGGGAGCGAACAGG